Molecule: ribosomal RNA, 253 nt
Filed under: uncultured bacterium
Lineage: Bacteria
Description: partial 16S ribosomal RNA
Rfam family: Bacterial small subunit ribosomal RNA
Source: RNAcentral
UACGGAGGGGGCUAGCGUUGUUCGGAAUCACUGGGCGUAAAGCGCACGUAGGCGGAUGUGUCAGUCAGGGGUGAAAUCCCGGAGCUCAACUUCGGAACUGCCUUUGAUACAGCACGUCUUGAGUCCGAUAGAGGUGGGUGGAAUUCCUAGUGUAGAGGUGAAAUUCGUAGAUAUUAGGAAGAACACCGGUGGCGAAGGCGGCCCACUGGAUCGGUACUGACGCUGAGGUGCGAAAGCGUGGGGAGCAAACAGG